This 465-nucleotide ribosomal RNA is filed under the name Halomonas sp. H1. Its description in RNAcentral is "bacterial SSU rRNA". It matches the Rfam family "Bacterial small subunit ribosomal RNA", at positions 34 to 494 of the family's 1533-position model. Lineage: Bacteria; Pseudomonadati; Pseudomonadota; Gammaproteobacteria; Oceanospirillales; Halomonadaceae. The record is from RNAcentral.
CGCUGGCGGCAGGCCUAACACAUGCAAGUCGAGCGGUAACAGAUCUAGCUUGCUAGAUGCUGACGAGCGGCGGACGGGUGAGUAAUGCAUAGGAAUCUGCCCGAUAGUGGGGGAUAACCUGGGGAAACCCAGGCUAAUACCGCAUACGUCCUACGGGGGAGAAAGGGGGCUUCGGCUCCCGCUAUCGGAUGAGCCUAUGUCGGAUUAGCUGGUUGGUGAGGUAAAGGCUCACCAAGGCGACGAUCCGUAGCUGGUCUGAGAGGAUGAUCAGCCACAUCGGGACUGAGACACGGCCCGAACUCCUACGGGAGGCAGCAGUGGGGAAUAUUGGACAAUGGGGGCAACCCUGAUCCAGCCAUGCCGCGUGUGUGAAGAAGGCCCUCGGGUUGUAAAGCACUUUCAGUGAGGAAGAACGCCUGGUGGUUAAUACCCAUCAGGAAAGACAUCACUCACAGAAGAAGCACC